Molecule: ribosomal RNA, 243 nt
Filed under: uncultured Halobacteria archaeon
Lineage: Archaea; Methanobacteriati; Methanobacteriota; Halobacteria
Description: partial 16S ribosomal RNA
Rfam family: Archaeal small subunit ribosomal RNA
Source: RNAcentral
AUUCCGGUUGAUCCUGCCGGAGGCCAUUGCUAUCGGAGUCCGAUUUAGCCAUGCUAGUUGCACAAGUUUAGACUCGUAGCAUAUAGCUCAGUAACACGUGGCCAAACUACCCUACAGACCGCGAUAACCUCGGGAAACUGAGGCCAAUAGCGGAUAUCACUCUCAGACUGGAGUGUCGAGAGUGAGAAACGUUCCGGCGCUGUAGGAUGUGGCUGCGGCCGAUUAGGUAGACGGUGGGGUAAC